This 365-nucleotide unclassified non-coding RNA is filed under the name uncultured bacterium. RNAcentral describes it as "contains 16S-23S intergenic spacer region". The record is from RNAcentral.
UCCGGGUUGGGCCCGGCAGUCUGGCAUGAAAAAUACAACAUGCCAUGGGGGUUACGCUCGUUAAGGGACUUAACCCUACAUCUCACGACACGAGCUGACAACAGCCAUGCAACACCUGUCCAACAGUCUCUUGCGAGAGGGCAACGUUUCCGCCGCUUGCUCCUGGAUGUCAAACCCUGGUAAGGUUCUUCGCGUACCGACGAAUUAAACCACACGCUCCGCUGCUUGUGCGGGUCCCCGUCAAUUCCUUUGAGUUUUAGCCUUGCGGCCGUACUCCCCAGGCGGAACACUUAACGCGUUAGCUACGAUACCGACGGGGUUGAUACCGCCAACAUCUAGUGUUCAUCGUUUACGGCUAGGACUAC